Long non-coding RNA from Neogale vison (American mink), 1175 nucleotides. RefSeq lists it as uncharacterized. The record is from RefSeq and is a predicted model, not a curated record. NCBI's taxonomy places the organism in Eukaryota, Metazoa, Chordata, Mammalia, Carnivora, Mustelidae. The transcript is spliced from 5 exons.
ACCAGAGUCAGAGCAGCUUACAUAUAGCCUGAGUGUCUGGCUUUGGGCAUUUUGGGAAGACUUCGGGUCUAAAGUUCUACAUCUUCCCGUGCUAGGACCCGAAGGAAACUUGAAAACAACAGGUGAGUUAAUUAAGGGGUUAACUCCAGGAGGCGAGUCAUAAAAGUUCAAAGACACUCCGAAAACUUGUAUCUUUCGAUUGAUGGACAAAUGUGUUAACCAAUGGAAAUCAAAACCCAGGCAUUACUUCAUCAUGCUAAAUUAUCAUUGGCUGCCAGUCCCCGAGGGCCGGACCGCAGGGCUGGUGGUUAACCCUUUCAGGGACGAUUUUUUGCCGUCGACAUUAAUUUUAUUUUGAAAGAUAAAGUAGGAACAGAUGAAAAGCCCAGAAAGGUCCUCAGACCUUCAAGCGUCGUCGCCUUUGGCUCUCACCCCAGCAGACUGCAUCCCGGGUCCACGAGAUCUGCUGGGCAGAAACCGAGAGAGUCAGCUGUCAUCGCCCGCAGCUGAGGUCUGAGAACGCGCACCCUGCGUGCUCGCCACAGGGUCUGGGAGACCGCUAUCUGCACCCUGCGCCUUGACAUCAACCUCUGCACCCGUGUCUCCCACGGCGAAUCGUGCUUGAUGUCUGCCCUGGGCAUGGCAAGGACCCGUCAGCAUAACUUCGCAAGUCCUCACUCGCCUGGGUCAACUUACCUGUCUGCGCGGACAGCUGGAGGCUCCUACAGGGUUGGAAAGUUGGAUGUUCUACCAGAGUCCCGACUUCUCAGCCUGGGAGCUGUGUGCUGUGGAUUCAUUCUUCGACUCCAUGAGACAAGAACCUAGCUGUCCCGCUUCAUCUCGGUGCAGAAACCUGGGAUCACUUCCAGCAAAGGAUUGGGCACCCCCAGAAUGACCUCCCGUGCCUUUGACUUCUGCUCCUGAACUCGGGAAUCCAUUCGUCAGCCUGCGCCUUGACAUCAACCUCUGCAUCUGUGUCUCCCACGGCGAAUCGUGCUUAAUGUCUGUCCUGGGCAUGGCAAGGACCCGUCAGCAUAACUUCGCAAGUCCUCACUCACCUGGGUCAACUUACCUGUCUGCGCGGACAGCUGGAUGCUCCUACAGGGUUGGAAAGUUGGAUGUUCCUACCAGAGUCCCGACUUUUAUUUAUUUAUUUGACAAAGAUUACAAGUAUA